CGGCCAGACUCCUACGGGAGGCAGCAGUGAGGAAUAUUGGUCAAUGGGCGGGAGCCUGAACCAGCCAAGUCGCGUGAGGGAAGACGGCCCUACGGGUUGUAAACCUCUUUUGUCGGGGAGCAAAGCGAACCACGUGUGGUUCAUUGAGAGUACCCGAAGAAAAAGCAUCGGCUAACUCCGUGCCAGCAGCCGCGGUAAUACGGAGGAUGCGAGCGUUAUCCGGAUUUAUUGGGUUUAAAGGGUGCGUAGGCGGACGCUUAAGUCAGCGGUAAAAUUGCGGGGCUCAACCUCGUCGAGCCGUUGAAACUGGGUGCCUUGAGUGGGCGAGAAGUACGCGGAAUGCGUGGUGUAGCGGUGAAAUGCAUAGAUAUCACGCAGAACUCCGAUUGCGAAGGCAGCGUACCGGCGCCCAACUGACGCUGAAGCACGAAGGCGUGGGUAUCGAACAGGAUUAGAUACCCGGGUA
Molecule: ribosomal RNA, 466 nt
Filed under: uncultured bacterium
Lineage: Bacteria
Description: bacterial SSU rRNA
Rfam family: Bacterial small subunit ribosomal RNA
Source: RNAcentral